Long non-coding RNA from Vicia villosa (hairy vetch), 1947 nucleotides. RefSeq lists it as uncharacterized. The record is from RefSeq and is a predicted model, not a curated record. Lineage: Eukaryota; Viridiplantae; Streptophyta; Magnoliopsida; Fabales; Fabaceae. The transcript is spliced from 4 exons.
CUUUUUAUCGUCAACUCCAAAAAAUAAAUUAAAAAAUUGAGAAAAACUCGCUCCUUUCUGAAAUAUCGAAGAAAUUGUUCAUAUCUCUCGCUAGAAGAUCAGCUUGUCCACUCGAUCUUGUAAUCUUGUUCAUCUAUGUCGCUAGAGCAUAGCCAUCAACUCGAUCUCGUUCAUCUCACUCCCUGAUCAGUUUGUCAACUCGUUUCAUCAACUCGACCGUCUCUCCUUACUCGCUCUCUCGUGGGUAUAUUGUUCACAACCUGAGUGGAAAUCGAUAGAACUCAUCACAGACCUAACAUAAGUGGAAAAGAAACCCUUGAUUCAAUUGACGACAUUUCCUUGGUUUGGGGCUUAGAAGUUGACAUAGCAUUGUUCACACAAUCGUCAGUUGCAUAUGCUCAAAUGGGUUUACAAAAACUUCAACUUGAGAUAGUUCAUGGAUUUGGAGGUAGUAGAUUAAACUCAAUUAACUUAUCUUUAUCUUCAAGCCUACUGAUUUUUUUUAGUGUGAAUUUUAAUUGAGUGCAUCGAGAAGAAAUAGAAGAACAAUUGAAAUUAGAUAUUAUCACUUAGUCGUAAUUUAUGCUUUUAGUAAUGUAUAGAUAUCCCCAAAUUUAAGUACUUAUUCGAUUGAGUAUAGUUUCCGAGACUACGGCGUUUCUCUUUUGUUGGAUUGUAUAUGUGUUGUUGAUUUAGUGAGACCUGGGUCAAAACUCUUCAUUGAUGAUGUGUUCUUUCUGUCAAGAUCGUGUUAAGGCUGCAAAAGUUGUUUGGAAGGUGGGCCUUGAGAGGAAAUUUGCACUUAUUCCAUGUUCGUUUGUGCUAUUGUACAUGGGGUAAUUUUUGUUUGGCUCGGGGGCAGAACAAUAAAAGCUUAAAUAAGGGGUUUAAUAAUGCAAAUGUCGUAUUACAGGUCUAAGCCGCUACAAAACAUAGCUAAGCAGCAAGUGUUCAUACUAUGGUUAAUUUUGCAGCUGAUGCGCUUGUAGCCACUUAAAGUACAGUGAUCAUGCUUCCUAUGUGUAAUUUUAGCUGUUCUCAAUGAAUUAUUGCUUCUUUGAUCAUAACUGUGCAUUUUUAUCUGUCAUUUUUGCAGAAAUCUUUAACAUGUUAUAGUUCCAUGAUUGUUCACAAACAAUGAAAUAUACCUUAACAGGUUAAUCAUAAUAACUCCUUAAGUCCAAAGGAUUUAUGAAUGAGGGUAUUUGACACACAUUUCUUAGCACUCAAUGUAAGACUAGUUGGUAGUUUUUUCUAACUCUUAAUCCAUGUUUUUAUGAUAUAAUUUAGACACCUAGUGUCCUAAGUUCUUUUUAUAUUUAUUGUUUUUUUGUGCCUGUGUUCACCAAUUUCUUCUCCUCCGCAUUUGUCUGAAUUUUUGAGUUUUUAGAAUGCAUCCACUGAUGCAUGAUGUUAAGGUUUUUUAGCAAGUAUCCAUUGAAAAUCCCAGUGUACAAUAAUUUGAGUUUUUAGAAUGCAUCCACUCAUGCUUCAUGUUAAGAUUUUUUUAGCAAGUAUCCAUCCAAAAUCCCAUUGUACAAAUUUUAAAGUUGGAUGAAAAGAAUGAUGAAAUUCAGGUGAUAAUACUAUUUAGAAAUUAUAAACAUGUGUUGACAAAGUUCUCAUCUCUUUCUCAUUUUGUUUUUGUUUGAACUUUAGAGGACAUGUGUCCAUAUACUCGGUUGGAAUAACUUACUUUUUAAUUGUAGGUUGUCUCGAAGGAGCUUAAAAUAGAUUUGGACAGAGGCAAGAAAAGGAAAGCCACCUUCAUGCUCUUAAUCAAAGGGCCAGGAUAAAGCUCAGAAUAAUUAUAUAUUUUUUUCAUUUAACUAACAGAGCAGGUGAACUUGAUUUUUCAUUUGAUGUAAGAUGGAUUUAUUGACACAAUUGAAUUUUAACUAUGUUGCUAUAGAUAUACCUUCAAUGGAAGCUUUUAACCACAUUGAA